AUGCUAUUACUUGGACCCUCACCAUCAACGGGGCAUACUUGGUGGCCUUCCCGCAUACAAGGUACAAUUCGAGGACCAUACCCACCACCAUGGUCCUUGCUGUUUGGAGCAACUGGGCGCCACCCAAAUGCAAAUUCUUUGCGUGGCUUGUCAUCAAGAACCGAGUGUGGACAGUGGACUGCGGACCGCCUUCACAGGAGGGGAUGGCCCAGCUGUGGCCUUUGCCAGCUUUGCAAAAGAGAGCCUGAAACUGCGGCGCACAUCGUCUUCAGGUGCAAGUACUUCCUCAGAAUAUGGUCGGCCAUUAAGGGUUGGUUCGAUGCUCUGGAGUUAGACAUUGCGAGCUGGGGAGGCAUCCGCACGGUUCAAGCAUGGUAGACGGCGACGGUUCAGAAGCAUGGCCACAGGAGAAAGGCCAUCUCAUCGCUUCUCAUGCUUGUCACUUGGGAGGUGUGGAACGAAAGGAAUGCAAUGGUUUUCCGCAACAAAUCGACCAUGCCAACCACUCUGGUCGAUAAUAUCAAGGCCGGAGCUAGAAUUAGGCCAUCGCGGGGCCCAAGCAUUUGA
This 567-nucleotide ribosomal RNA is filed under the name Triticum aestivum (bread wheat). Its description in RNAcentral is "partial small subunit ribosomal RNA". The record is from RNAcentral. Lineage: Eukaryota; Viridiplantae; Streptophyta; Magnoliopsida; Poales; Poaceae.